This 258-nucleotide ribosomal RNA is filed under the name Shigella sonnei. RNAcentral's name for it is "partial 23S ribosomal RNA". It matches the Rfam family "Bacterial large subunit ribosomal RNA", at positions 1 to 255 of the family's 2925-position model. Lineage: Bacteria; Pseudomonadati; Pseudomonadota; Gammaproteobacteria; Enterobacterales; Enterobacteriaceae. The record is from RNAcentral.
CGAAGGUUAAGCGACUAAGCGUACACGGUGGAUGCCCUGGCAGUCAGAGGCGAUGAAGGACGUGCUAAUCUGCGAUAAGCGUCGGUAAGGUGAUAUGAACCGUUAUAACCGGCGAUUUCCGAAUGGGGAAACCCAGUGUGAUUCGUCACACUAUCAUUAACUGAAUCCAUAGGUUAAUGAGGCGAACCGGGGGAACUGAAACAUCUAAGUACCCCGAGGAAAAGAAAUCAACCGAGAUUCCCCCAGUAGCGGCGAGCG